CCUACGGGUGGCAGCAGUAGGGAAUAUUGCUCAAUGGGGGAGACCCUGAAGCAACAACGCCGCGUGGAGGAUGAAGGUUUUCGGAUUGUAAACUCCUUUUGUUAGAGAAGAUAAUGACGGUAUCUAACGAAUAAGCACCGGCUAACUCCGUGCCAGCAGCCGCGGUAAUACGGAGGGUGCAAGCGUUACUCGGAAUCACUGGGCGUAAAGAGCGCGUAGACGGGUUAGUAAGUCAGAUGUGAAAUCCUAUGGCUUAACCAUAGAACUGCAUUUGAAACUGUUAUUCUAGAGUAUGGGAGAGGUAGGUGGAAUUCUUGGUGUAGGGGUAAAAUCCGUAGAGAUCAAGAAGAAUACUGAUUGCGAAGGCGGCCUGCUGGACGAUGACUGACGUUGAGGCUCGAAAGCGUGGGGAGCAAACAGGAUUAGAUACCCCAGUAGUC
RNAcentral lists this ribosomal RNA (440 nucleotides) under uncultured bacterium. RNAcentral's name for it is "partial 16S ribosomal RNA". It matches the Rfam family "Bacterial small subunit ribosomal RNA", at positions 338 to 795 of the family's 1533-position model. The record is from RNAcentral.